RNAcentral lists this transfer RNA (19 nucleotides) under Crudia gabonensis. RNAcentral describes it as "partial tRNA-Phe". Lineage: Eukaryota; Viridiplantae; Streptophyta; Magnoliopsida; Fabales; Fabaceae. The record is from RNAcentral. RNAcentral also lists the same sequence under 3 other names.
UCGGGAUAGCUCAGCUGGU